AUCACUUGGGGAUCUUGUUGAAAUGCAGAUUUCAAUCCCAUGGGUCCCAAGUGGAACCUGAGAUUUUGCAUUUCUAACAAGGUCUCAGGUGAUACCCA
Molecule: microRNA precursor, 98 nt
Filed under: Felis catus (domestic cat)
Lineage: Eukaryota; Metazoa; Chordata; Mammalia; Carnivora; Felidae
Also listed under: 2 other names
Description: mir-544 microRNA precursor family
Rfam family: mir-544 microRNA precursor family
Source: Rfam by way of RNAcentral